UGCCUAACACAUGCAAGUCGAACGGUAACAGGUCUUCGGAUGCUGACGAGUGGCGCACGGGUGAGUAACGCGUGGAUAUCUGCCUAUGAGUGGGGGACAACUUUCGGAAACGAAAGCUAAUACCGCAUAAUCUCUACGGAGCAAAGCAGGGGACCUUUCGGGGCCUUGUGCUUAUAGAUGAGUCCGCGUCAGAUUAGCUAGUUGGUGGGGUAAGAGCCUACCAAGGCGAUGAUCUGUAGCUGGUUUGAGAGGAUGAUCAGUCACACUGGAACUGAGACACGGUCCAGACUCCUACGGGAGGCAGCAGUGGGGAAUUUUGCACAAUGGGCGCAAGCCUGAUGCAGCGAUGCCGCGUGUGGGAAGAAGGCCUUUGGGUUGUAAACCACUUUCAAUUGGGAAGAAGGGAUGAGGAUUAAUAAUCCUCUGACUUGACGGUACCUUUAGAAGAAGCACCGGCUAAUUUCGUGCCAGCAGCCGCGGUAAUACGAAAGGUGCAAGCGUUGUUCGGAUUUACUGGGCGUAAAGAGAUCGUAGGUGGUUUGUUAAGUUGGAUGUGAAAUCCCGGGGCUCAACCUCGGAACUGCAUCCAAAACUGGCAGACUUGAGUUCGGGAGGGGUAAGCGGAAUUCCGUGUGUAGCAGUGAAAUGCGUAGAUAUACGGAGGAACACCUGAGGCGAAGGCGGCUUACUGGACCGAUACUGACACUGAGGAUCGAAAGCGUGGGUAGCAAACAGGAUUAGAUACCCUGGUAGUCCACGCCCUAAACGAUGUCAACUAGCCGUUGCGGGUAUCGACCCCUGCAGUGGCGCAGCUAACGCGAUAAGUUGACCGCCUGGGGAGUACG
RNAcentral lists this ribosomal RNA (845 nucleotides) under uncultured Zetaproteobacteria bacterium. RNAcentral describes it as "bacterial SSU rRNA". It matches the Rfam family "Bacterial small subunit ribosomal RNA", at positions 45 to 884 of the family's 1533-position model. The record is from RNAcentral. Lineage: Bacteria; Pseudomonadati; Pseudomonadota; Candidatius Mariprofundia.